GCGGCAAAGCUCAAUUUGAAAUCUGGCACUUUCAGUGUCCGAGUUGUAAUUUGAAGAAGGUAUCUUUGGGUCUGGCUCUUGUCUAUGUUUCUUGGAACAGAACGUCACAGAGGGUGAGAAUCCCGUGCGAUGAGAUGUCCCAGACCUAUGUAAAGUUCCUUCGAAGAGUCGAGUUGUUUGGGAAUGCAGCUCUAAGUGGGUGGUAAAUUCCAUCUAAAGCUAAAUAUUGGCGAGAGACCGAUAGCGAACAAGUACAGUGAUGGAAAGAUGAAAAGAACUUUGAAAAGAGAGUGAAAAAGUACGUGAAAUUGUUGAAAGGGAAGGGCUUGAGAUCAGACUUGGUAUUUUGUAUGUUACUCUCUCGGGGGUGGCCUCUACAGUUUACCGGGCCAGCAUCAGUUUGAGCGGUAGGAUAAGUGCAAAGAAAUGUGGCACUGCUUCGGUAGUGUGUUAUAGUCUUUGUCGAUACUGCCAGCUUAGACUGAGGACUGCGGCUUCGGCCUAGGAUGUUGGCAUAAUGAUCUUAAGUCGCCCGUCUUG
This 540-nucleotide ribosomal RNA is filed under the name Lodderomyces parapsilosis. Its description in RNAcentral is "Candida parapsilosis partial large subunit ribosomal RNA". It matches the Rfam family "Eukaryotic large subunit ribosomal RNA", at positions 99 to 656 of the family's 3401-position model. The record is from RNAcentral. Lineage: Eukaryota; Fungi; Ascomycota; Pichiomycetes; Serinales; Debaryomycetaceae.